Molecule: ribosomal RNA, 200 nt
Filed under: uncultured eukaryote
Lineage: Eukaryota
Description: partial 18S ribosomal RNA
Rfam family: Eukaryotic small subunit ribosomal RNA
Source: RNAcentral
GCUCCAAUAGCGUAUAUUAAAGUUGUUGCAGUUAAAAAGCUCGUAGUCGGACUUGUGGCUGUGGCGCGCGGUCCGCCGAAAGGUGUGUACUGUGCGCCACGGCCAUCCUCUUGAGGACCUGCGGUGCCUUAACUGGGCAACGUAGGGACUCAGGACCUUUACUUUGAAAAAAUUAGAGUGUUCAAAGCAAGCUAAAGCUC